UACAGAGGGUGCAAGCGUUGUUCGGAAUUAUUGGGCGUAAAGGGCAGGUAGGUGGUCUUAUUUGUCUAGGGUGAAAUCCCAGGGCUUAACCCUGGAAGUGCCUUAGAAACGGUAGGACUAGAGUUCUAGAGAGGGUCGUGGAAUUCCCGGUGUAGCGGUGAAAUGCGCAGAUAUCAGGAAGAACACCCGUGGCGAAAGCGGCUCUCUGGAACGGUACUGACGCUGAGACGCGAAAGCGUGGGGAGCGAACAGG
Molecule: ribosomal RNA, 253 nt
Filed under: uncultured bacterium
Lineage: Bacteria
Description: partial 16S ribosomal RNA
Rfam family: Bacterial small subunit ribosomal RNA
Source: RNAcentral